RNAcentral lists this long non-coding RNA (743 nucleotides) under Salmo salar (Atlantic salmon). RNAcentral describes it as "lncRNA (ENSSSAG00000101974.1, ENSSSAG00000108589.1)". The record is from RNAcentral. Lineage: Eukaryota; Metazoa; Chordata; Actinopteri; Salmoniformes; Salmonidae.
UUUGAGUCCACUGGGAUGGGUUCGAAUGGUUACAGUUUAGCACAUAUCAAUCAACACUUACGAGAGCUGCAGCAGAAUUCUAAUGCCGACUCCGGCUCAGAAGUAUCUGGGUAAUCCAUGAAAUUUCACAGAGGAAAAUGGAGGAAAACCUAUAAAACCCAGUCACCUCAUAUUGAAUUCUGGACAAUGACCCAACACACCUCCAGGCUGUGUAAGGGCAAUUUUACCAAUAAGGAGAGUGAUGGAGUGCUGCAUCAGAUGACCUGGCCUCCACAAUCACCCGACCUCAACACAAUUGUGAUGGUUUGGGAUGUUCGCCCGCAGAGUGAAAGAAAAGCAGCCAACAAGUACUCACCAAAUAUGGGAACUCCUUCAAGACUGUUGGAAAAGCAUUCCAGGUGAAGCUGGUUGAGAGAAUGCCAAGAGUGUGCAACGCUGUUAUCAAGGCAAAGGGUUUGAAGAAUCUCAAAUCUCAAAUGUAUUUUGAUUUGUUUAAUACUUUUUUGGUUACUACAUGAUUCCAUAUGUGUUAUUUCAUAGUUUUGAUGUCUUCACUAUUAUUCUACAAUGUAGAAAAUAGUAAAAUAAAAUAAAAACUUGAAUGAGUAGGUGUGUCCAAACUUUUGACUGGUACUAUAUGUAUGAUAUCAUUUCUACCGACAGCAGCUGCAUUGUAAUAUAUCAUAAAAGAAUAUCUGCUGCUUCAUGUAUUCCAUUUUUUUUUAAUGUUCUUGAUAACCAGC